CAGGGUUCAGCAAAAUUUAAUACUCUCCCAGCAUAAAGCAUGUUUAUUGCUUUCUAUUAAUCAUUUUGAGUAUGUACACACAUACUAUAUAAAGCAUAGUUGUGAAUUUUCAAAAAAUUUGUAAAAGUGAAAUUUUUUUGCAGUGAUCUUCUGAGUUUAAAAUUUUGACAAUGCUCAGUUAAACAGGUGGCACAGGAGGAUCCCUGGGUGGCUCAGCGGUUUAGCGCCUGCCUUUGGCCCAGGACGUGACCCUGGAGUUCCAGGAUCGAGUCCCACGUCAGGCUCCCUGCAUGGAGCCUGCUUCUCUCUCUGCCUGUGUCUCUGCUUCUCUCUUUCUCUCUCUGUGUCUCUCAUGAAUAAAUAAAUAAAAAUAUUUUAAAAAGAUAAAUAAAUAGGUGGCACACAUUAGGCCUCCAUACCUAAGAGCUCUGUGAGUUUGGACUUUUUGUGCUCAAGUUUCUCUUUUGUAAGAUGGAAGGAAUGCCUGGUGAAGCAUCCAAUGAAAGAAUAAGCAUGAAAUUACUGCCAAGGUGCUGAGAAAAUGUAAUUAAGUACUAAAAAAUGAACAGGAUUAUCUUCCCUUGGCUCUUUAAUAAAAUGCCAAGUGGUUACUUUUAUAUUCUUCUGGUCCGUAAUGUGCUGAAAGUGUAAGCAUAUAGAAAUGACACCUGUGGACAGUAAGGUGGAUUAUGGAGCUAUGGUGGAUCAAUGAAACAAAAAGCUUCCAAUUACUCCUUACAGAAAGACAUUAUUUCCCACAUUUUUACAUAAAAUUAGAAUAUUACUCAAAAUGAUACUUUGUGCCUGCAGCUUUCCUUAAUUAUUCCUUAGAUAACUGCCUUCUAAACAGUCAUAGCUAUUUUUGGUGUUUCCACUGGGAAAUCACAAUAGACUUGUGUAAUACCACUCUCUUCACAGAAUAAACUUUGGGUAGGCUAGAACAGUGCAGAUCAUCAUAACCUUUUUUCAAACUGGGAGAGACUCCAGGGUUUAAUGAGGGUUUAUAAUAUGCAGUUAGUAUAGAAGCAAAAUUUAACUGUAAAUACAGGUAAAUUGAAAUGCUCUCAAAUGAUGUUAAACGUGAAGAAAUACCACAAAUAUCUGUGACCCAAAUCAGUGACAAGUCUCAAGUCCCAGAUAUCCAGGUCCAAACUCAUGAUCACAUAUUACAUAGAGAAAACCACAAAAAAGAUGAAUACUGUUAAUCACAGGGAUGGAGGACUUCAUUUCUACUGUCCUCUGUUUACUUUCACACCCCAAGUUGUUCCUGAAAGUGUUUAAGAUCUAUUGCAUGGUGGAAAUUCAAGUGGUCAGUAGGGACAUUCUCACUCACCAAGGCUCCUAUCCUCAUAGAUAUGCACAAUCCCAGCCUAUUAUUUCAUGUCAUUGCCUACUUUCCUUCAAAGCCCUUACUUCCAUCUUAUUAUCCAACAUUUUACUAUUUGUUAACCAUCUCUCUUGCUCACAAAUCUAUGAGCACCAGGAGUGCAAGAACAUGUGUGUUUAAUGCCCCUAAAUUGAAAUACUAUACGGACUUUAUUUUUGCUACACUGGGUAUGUUUUGAGUAUUAUGGUGCCUGACAAGUAAGGGAUGUUCAAAAAUUAGCAUCAAGAAUAUCCCUGAGGGGCACUUACGUGGCACAGUUAAACAUCUGCCUUCAACUUGGGGAGUCCUGGGAUUGAGCCCCAAGUGGGCUUCCUGCUCAGUAGAGUAGUCUGCUUCUCCCUCUCCCUCUGCCCUUCUCCUGCUGGUGCCUGCUUGCUCUCAAAAUAUUAAACAAAACAAAAUAGAUGCCUAGGUGGCUCGGUUGGAUGGGUGUUUGCCUUCUGCUCAUGUCAUGGGUCCUGGGAUCAAACCCCACUUCUCCCUCUCCCUCGUGCUCUCUCUUCUCUCUCAAAUAAGUAAUCCUUUUUAAAAAUAAAAAAAUAAUUUAAAAAAGAGUAGUCUCUGAGCAAGAAAGGCUUGAUUGGAAUAGUAAUUCUGUUUUUCUCCUUUGCUAGAUUUUGUUCUCUCAAUUUACAGGCUAAUGUAAAUUUACCUAACUUACCUAAACUUACAGGCUCAAUGACACCAAAAAGGAGGUACUAAACAUAGUUUACUAGGAAGUAAGUUUACACAUUUUCACUGAGAUACUAAGGUAAACAGUGGCCAUCAGCUUAUUGUAGGAAAUAUACUGAUGUUUAGAUAAGAGUAGGAAGGGCAACAGCUGUUCUUAGGGGACUGGCACUGUCCUUGUGAAGUCUCAUUUGUGUUGGAGAGAAAAAUACCAAACAUUUCCAUCAUCAAAUAAAGCAAUUUGGUGAUCAUGAUGAUCAAGACAAAAAUAAGGGUAUUUUGUAACCACAUCUCUCAAAAUGGAAAAGAGUCCAUUCCAAAUCACAAAAAUUACUAAAAUUCUCCUUUUAAUAAUAUAACUGACUGGAGCUUAUGAAUUAGGCUUAGCCCCACUACACUGGUAAUCAUUUUCUAGAAGGUAAAAACAAUGGUAGAAUUAAGCUCACCUCCACAUGGGCACUUGACAGGAUGAGCACUGGGUGUUAUUCUGUAUGUUGACAAAUUGAACACCAAUAAAAAAUAAAUUAUUAAAAAAAAAGCUCACCUCCACAAAGCAUCCAACACCUCCAGAAAUUUCUUGCUUUUACUGAAUAGCAAUCAAAUCACCUAGCAAAAACCCAAGUUAUGUAAGUCCUUUUAAUA
RNAcentral lists this long non-coding RNA (2698 nucleotides) under Canis lupus familiaris (dog). RNAcentral's name for it is "lncRNA (ENSCAFG00845018057.1)". Lineage: Eukaryota; Metazoa; Chordata; Mammalia; Carnivora; Canidae. The record is from RNAcentral.